RNAcentral lists this ribosomal RNA (1302 nucleotides) under Triticum aestivum (bread wheat). RNAcentral describes it as "partial small subunit ribosomal RNA". The record is from RNAcentral. Lineage: Eukaryota; Viridiplantae; Streptophyta; Magnoliopsida; Poales; Poaceae.
AUGGAGCUGGCCAUGCUAGAAGAGCUAGAAGAAGAUGGUCCCUUGUCCCCUGAGCUAUACAACAUCAAGGUUGAUGUUAGUACUGAGCUUCAUGACAUACUGGUGAAUGAGGAGAUAUAUUGGCUCCAACAGUCUCAUGAACGCUGGCUCUUGAAAGGGGACCUAAACACGGACUAUUAUCAUAAAAUUGCAAAUGGCCGAAAGAGGAAGAACACAAUUCACUCCCUUAAAGCUGGGGAUGCGGAGAUCGAGGGCACUGACAAUCUGAUUGCUCAUGCCACGGAGUAUUACAAAAAUCUGUUCGGACCUGGGUCCGGUAAUCUGUUCCACCUUGAUCCUGACACUUGGUCUGUUGAGGAAAAGCUCGAUGCUAGUGAUAAUGCUGAUUUGUGCCGUGAGUUCAUGGAGGAAGAGAUCAAGGAGGCGUUGUUCUCUAUGGCACAUAAUAGAGCCCCUGGCCCUGACAAUAUUCCUGUUGAAUUCUAUCAGGUAUGUUGGGAUAUCGUUAAAGAUGAUCUUGUGAGGCUUUUCGUGAGCUUUUAUAAUGGGACUUUGGAUGUUCAACGUCUUAACUAUGGGGUGAUCACCCUUUUGCCCAAGUCUUCGGGCACGGAUAAAAUCCAGCAAUUUAGACCUAUAUGUCUCCUGAGAUGUCCAUAUAAGCUUAUUACUAAAGUUUUGGAUCGGCGAGUGGAGAGGUACGCUGAUAAGCUCAUUAGCUCGACCCAAAAUGCUUUUAUCAAGGGAAGAAGCAUUAUGGACGGGGUGUUGUCGCUGCAUGAAAUUUUGAAUUAUACCCAUGUGAAAAAGAGGGUGGGGGUCGUCUUGAAGCUCGACUUUGAGAAAGCAUACGAUAAGGUGAACUGGGAAUUUUUGUUGGAAUGUCAUAAGCUUCGUGGUUUUAGUGACACGUGGUGCAACUGGAUUAAACAGAUCCUACUCAAUGGUACAGUUAGUAUCAAACUUAAUAAUCAGGUCGGUCCUUAUUUCCAGAGUGCUAAGGGUGUUCGACAAGGGGAUCCCCACUCCCCUUUCCUAUUUAAUCUAGCUGCUGAUUGUCUUGCGAAGAUGAUCUCCAAUGCCCAAAAUAAUAACUUGCUGGUGGGUUUGGCUUCGGAUCUUAUUCCUAAUGGAGUUGCGGUGCUCCAGUAUGCAGACGAUACUAUUAUCUGUCUGGAACACGAUGUUGAUAAGGCAGUAAACCUAAAGUUGCUGCUGUACAUCUUCGAGCUUAUGUCUGGUCUUAAAGUGAACUAUCAGAAAAGUGAGAUCUUCACUGUGGGGGCGAUGAGAGCACGGUGA